UGGGGAAUAUUGCACAAUGGGCGCAAGCCUGAUGCAGCCAUGCCGCGUGUAUGAAGAAGGCCUUCGGGUUGUAAAGUACUUUCAGCGGGGAGGAAGGUGGUAAGGUUAAUAACCUUAUCAAUUGACGUUACCGACAGAAGAAGCACCGGCUAACUCCGUGCCAGCAGCCGCGGUAAUACGGAGGGUGCAAGCGUUAAUCGGAAUUACUGGGCGUAAAGCGCACGCAGGCGGUUUGUUAAGUCAGAUGUGAAAUCCCCGGGCUCAACCUGGGAACUGCAUCUGAUACUGGCAAGCUUGAGUCUCGUAGAGGGGGGUAGAAUUCCAGGUGUAGCGGUGAAAUGCGUAGAGAUGUGGAGGAAUACCGGUGGCGAAGGCGGCCCCCUGGACAAAGACUGACGCUCAGGUGCGAAAGCGUGGGGAGCAAACAGG
This 429-nucleotide ribosomal RNA is filed under the name Chloroflexota bacterium. RNAcentral describes it as "Chloroflexi bacterium partial 16S ribosomal RNA". It matches the Rfam family "Bacterial small subunit ribosomal RNA", at positions 355 to 776 of the family's 1533-position model. Lineage: Bacteria; Bacillati; Chloroflexota. The record is from RNAcentral.